This 1499-nucleotide long non-coding RNA is filed under the name Capsicum annuum. RNAcentral's name for it is "long non-coding RNA (CANN_LNC021699)". The record is from RNAcentral. Lineage: Eukaryota; Viridiplantae; Streptophyta; Magnoliopsida; Solanales; Solanaceae.
CGAAGACGAAGAAUAUACUGGUGGCCAUUGCCGUGGACUUCAUCGUCGUUGUUUUUGCACUACAGAAUGUGAAUUAUGAGUAUAAUUUAUGAUAUGUACUAAAGAAGAAGUUUGAGAGAAUUAAUGUACUCUUGGAUAAAGAUAGAGUGCCUAUUUUUAUUUCUAAAUAUUAUUAUGAAACAUAAAUGGUUAAAAUGAUUAAACAAUUGAUAAUCACAAUUAAUUUAUGAACAUUACGAGUAAAGGACCAAAAUACUUAAUUGAAGGUCAUGAUUUGUAGAUUACUAUACUUGUCAUCCUUACUAAAAAGAUAUGCCUUAAAAUACUUGUCAUUUUAGAAGCUCAAAGACAAAAUCAAUCUUUUCUCAUUUUACCCUUUGCAGUAAUAGUUCUUGAAAGCUACAAACACCGCCUAGAUAUGAGAGCUGUUGGAUGUUGCUCAAUCCUGCUAUAACUUAACAACUAAAAAGCUCUAUGUCAAAUUUCAGCCCCUUCGAGUUGGCCGUAGAGUUAUAGACUUUAACAUCCCACACCAUUGCAAUAGGAGGGGCUUUGCCCAUCAGCCUAUUUUGCCAAGAGAUGGCAGGAGCACAACGACCUUAGUCCAAACCUACUUAAAUAACCUAAUGGCUUGUCCCAGUCUGAAAGUAGACCUUGUAGAAAAGUUGAUAGGAAAGGUAGCCUAUAGAAUCAAGCGAUCAGUUCGGUGAAAACUAAUCCUAUAUUUCAUGUAAGACAGUUGACUUCGAUUAGAUCAGACAACUCUAGAGAGGAACAUACCCACAACGGCACCAUCAGAUGUUGUAGAUAACCCUACUAAAGAUAAAGUAGAGUAUAUCAUAGCUGAUCGCACCAUGGGCUAGCCGAUACACCCAUUGUACGAGCGGAAUACUACUUAAUCAAGUAAAAAGUCUAACUUGAGAGCAAGGCAAACCGAAAAGGGGCUGAUACUUGGGAUUUGAAGACCAAGUCAGAGAUUACUAGACGUCUUGCAAAUUGACUCUUAAUGAGGAGGUUGAGACUGUUCGAAAAAAAUGAUCUUUUGGAUUAAUCUGCCUUCACAAAAGAAAAAAAAGUACACUUGUACUCGAAUAAUAAGGAAAAUAUUUUUUUUCUAGACAGAGGAGUAUAAAAAAUGUGUUGUGCUUAAUUCAUAAGAUUCUAUUGUCAAUAGCAUUAGUAUAUUAUUUUACUUGGUUUACCUCUCCCAUGACUUUCUGGACCAACCAAUUUGAAUCUGCCUUCGCAAGUCUCUCUGCAUUUUGGUAGCAGAGCAUGCAGCAAAUCGAGCAAUGAAUCUUAGAAGAAUUCCACAUUGAAGUACAACUUUGUUUAUUUCAGUGUUGGCACUUGAGGUGUCUCUCUUCUUCUUUCAAUUGAAACACUUGAUGCAGAUGCUCCGCUGGCCUUUACUUCUCCACUGGUAAUUCUAAAAUAGAAAGAAUAUAAAUAAAGGUGCAUAUGUAGGAAACCUCAUCCCUGACCUCUUUUUAAAAUUC